Molecule: non-coding RNA, 1020 nt
Organism: Erythranthe guttata (spotted monkey flower)
Lineage: Eukaryota; Viridiplantae; Streptophyta; Magnoliopsida; Lamiales; Phrymaceae
Source: RefSeq, a predicted model, not a curated record
AUUUCGAGUGGUAUAUUUUUAUUUUUUUAUAUUAGAAAAUAACAAAUCUUAAAUCUCUUAGUAAACACCCCUUAUCUUGUCAUUGCAAUGUACAGAGACACACAUAAUAUUAUAAUAUAAUAAAAUAAUACAUACACUAAUAUAAGUGCAAGAACAAGAUUGAAUGAAAUCGAAGGGUAUUUUGGAUGAAAGGCCCCCUUUUCUUUUCACAGGAGAAUUGGCGCUAAGAGUUGGCGGUAAUUAUCUCCAAGUUUCAGAAAUCACUAUCAAUAGAAUCCCUAAAGCCAGCCCUAAUUCCUAUUCUUUAGGAAGAGAAAAACCGUAAUACCCCCAAAUCUCACAUCAAAAUGGAAAAAAAAUCAGAAUCCAAAUCAUCAAUCCAACCUAGAAUAAUAAAAAACCGUCGACAAAUCCAAUACUCAAGAAGAUUGGCGCUAAGGGUGUUUUUUAGAGGGGAAUUGGCGGCAAUUUACUAUUUGAUAAGAGGAAUUAAAGGGGCAGUGGAACACAAGGACGCGAUCUUCCGUCAAAUUUUCGGGCGACCAAGAAGUCGUGUGCUUUCACCUACUGGAGUAAUAAAUCUUUCCAUUGCAUCACAAAACUUUUAACGAUCUCAAGUCUAAUAAUGAGUAUGGAUCACAAACGUAGAAUGGAGAUAUCAAGAGCAUUGAAGACAACUAACAAUAUUGGAAAUUUGAAACGCAAGAUGGAGUUAGCCGGUGCUUUAACUGCAACAAAUGAUAUAGCUGAUGAGCCAACUGAGCAUUCCUUACUUCCAACUUUAAAUGUUUCAAGUAAAAAUAAGAGAGUUUUGCCCCCGACUAAAUCAAAUAUUUCUAGCUCUUCAACUAGACAACCGACAAUAAACCCCAAAACUAGCGAUAAAGUUAGAGUGAAUACAAAAGAUCUUCAGGUACAACACAUGACCAAUGCGUCAAAUGAGCACAAUAGAGUUGAUGUUACAGGUAUUGUUAUCUAAAAUAGUUUUUUGGUAUUUAUUUUUACUUAUAUCUUGUAUGU